UGAUGGGAGCUUGCUCCCUGAUAUCAGCGGCGGACGGGUGAGUAACACGUGGGUAACCUGCCUGUAAGACUGGGAUAACUCCGGGAAACCGGGGCUAAUACCGGAUAACUCAUUUCCUCGCAUGAGGAAAUGUUGAAAGGUGGCUUUUAGCUACCACUUACAGAUGGACCCGCGGCGCAUUAGCUAGUUGGUGAGGUAACGGCUCACCAAGGCGACGAUGCGUAGCCGACCUGAGAGGGUGAUCGGCCACACUGGGACUGAGACACGGCCCAGACUCCUACGGGAGGCAGCAGUAGGGAAUCUUCCGCAAUGGACGAAAGUCUGACGGAGCAACGCCGCGUGAGUGAUGAAGGUUUUCGGAUCGUAAAGCUCUGUUGUUAGGGAAGAACAAGUGCCGUUCGAAUAGGGCGGCACCUUGACGGUACCUAACCAGAAAGCCACGGCUAACUACGUGCCAGCAGCCGCGGUAAUACGUAGGUGGCAAGCGUUGUCCGGAAUUAUUGGGCGUAAAGCGCGCGCAGGUGGUUUCUUAAGUCUGAUGUGAAAGCCCACGGCUCAACCGUGGAGGGUCAUUGGAAACUGGGGAACUUGAGUGCAGAAGAGGAAAGUGGAAUUCCAAGUGUAGCGGUGAAAUGCGUAGAUAUUUGGAGGAACACCAGUGGCGAAGGCGACUUUCUGG
This 679-nucleotide ribosomal RNA is filed under the name Rossellomorea vietnamensis. RNAcentral describes it as "bacterial SSU rRNA". It matches the Rfam family "Bacterial small subunit ribosomal RNA", at positions 70 to 732 of the family's 1533-position model. Lineage: Bacteria; Bacillati; Bacillota; Bacilli; Caryophanales; Bacillaceae. The record is from RNAcentral.